UGGACAAAUUAUUGUAUUCGACUGUAUUCACGGUGUGAAAUAGGGGAUUACACUAUUUUUAAAAGGAAAGUGAAUCAAUUAACAUAAUAAACACCU
RNAcentral lists this microRNA precursor (96 nucleotides) under Nicotiana sylvestris (wood tobacco). RNAcentral's name for it is "MIR6152 microRNA precursor family". It matches the Rfam family "MIR6152 microRNA precursor family". Lineage: Eukaryota; Viridiplantae; Streptophyta; Magnoliopsida; Solanales; Solanaceae. RNAcentral also lists the same sequence under 1 other name. The record is from Rfam by way of RNAcentral.